GGCCGCGUAGCUCAGUUGGCAGAGCAUUGGGCUAGUAUUCCAAAGGUCGCAGGUUCGAUUCCCACCGUGGUUA
Molecule: transfer RNA, 73 nt
Filed under: Paramuricea clavata
Lineage: Eukaryota; Metazoa; Cnidaria; Anthozoa; Malacalcyonacea; Plexauridae
Rfam family: tRNA
About the family: Transfer RNA (tRNA) molecules are approximately 80 nucleotides in length. Their secondary structure includes four short double-helical elements and three loops (D, anti-codon, and T loops).
Source: Rfam by way of RNAcentral